CCUACGGGAGGCUGCAGUGAGGAAUAUUGGUCAAUGGGCGGGAGCCUGAACCAGCCAAGCCGCGUGAGGGAAGAAGGUACAGCGUAUCGUAAACCUCUUUUGUCAGGGAACAAAGGCGGGGACUAGUCCCCGGAUGAGGGUACCUGAAGAAAAAGCAUCGGCUAACUCCGUGCCAGCAGCCGCGGUAAUACGGAGGAUGCGAGCGUUAUCCGGAUUUAUUGGGUUUAAAGGGAGCGUAGGCCGCAUGUCAAGCGUGCUGUGAAAUGUCCGGGCUCAACCCGGGCCUUGCAGCGCGAACUGGCGUGCUUGAGUCCGCGGAAAGCAGGCGGAAUUCGUCGUGUAGCGGUGAAAUGCUUAGAUAUGACGAAGAACCCCGAUUGCGAAGGCAGCUUGCUGCAGCGGAACUGACGCUGAUGCUCGAAAGCGCGGGUAUCGAACAGGAUUAGAUACCCUGGUAGUC
RNAcentral lists this ribosomal RNA (460 nucleotides) under uncultured bacterium. Its description in RNAcentral is "partial 16S ribosomal RNA". It matches the Rfam family "Bacterial small subunit ribosomal RNA", at positions 338 to 795 of the family's 1533-position model. The record is from RNAcentral.